Suncus etruscus (white-toothed pygmy shrew) is the source of this 130-nucleotide small nucleolar RNA. RefSeq annotates it as small nucleolar RNA SNORA84. Lineage: Eukaryota; Metazoa; Chordata; Mammalia; Eulipotyphla; Soricidae. The record is from RefSeq and is a predicted model, not a curated record. The transcript has a single exon.
GGCCUGUGGUUACUGGAUGCUGUUUUCAUAUAGUUCUCCAGUAGAUAGAAGGCAUAAUAACAAUUCUUUGCUUUUUGCAUGGGAGUUAUACUUUCUCAGCAACAUCCACAGCCUAGUCACUGAGACAUGA